RNAcentral lists this ribosomal RNA (837 nucleotides) under Escherichia coli. RNAcentral's name for it is "partial 23S ribosomal RNA". It matches the Rfam family "Bacterial large subunit ribosomal RNA", at positions 612 to 1448 of the family's 2925-position model. The record is from RNAcentral. Lineage: Bacteria; Pseudomonadati; Pseudomonadota; Gammaproteobacteria; Enterobacterales; Enterobacteriaceae.
AUAAUGGGUCAGCGACUUAUAUUCUGUAGCAAGGUUAACCGAAUAGGGGAGCCGAAGGGAAACCGAGUCUUAACUGGGCGUUAAGUUGCAGGGUAUAGACCCGAAACCCGGUGAUCUAGCCAUGGGCAGGUUGAAGGUUGGGUAACACUAACUGGAGGACCGAACCGACUAAUGUUGAAAAAUUAGCGGAUGACUUGUGGCUGGGGGUGAAAGGCCAAUCAAACCGGGAGAUAGCUGGUUCUCCCCGAAAGCUAUUUAGGUAGCGCCUCGUGAAUUCAUCUCCGGGGGUAGAGCACUGUUUCGGCAAGGGGGUCAUCCCGACUUACCAACCCGAUGCAAACUGCGAAUACCGGAGAAUGUUAUCACGGGAGACACACGGCGGGUGCUAACGUCCGUCGUGAAGAGGGAAACAACCCAGACCGCCAGCUAAGGUCCCAAAGUCAUGGUUAAGUGGGAAACGAUGUGGGAAGGCCCAGACAGCCAGGAUGUUGGCUUAGAAGCAGCCAUCAUUUAAAGAAAGCGUAAUAGCUCACUGGUCGAGUCGGCCUGCGCGGAAGAUGUAACGGGGCUAAACCAUGCACCGAAGCUGCGGCAGCGACGCUGAUGCGUUGUUGGGUAGGGGAGCGUUCUGUAAGCCUGUGAAGGUGUGCUGUGAGGCAUGCUGGAGGUAUCAGAAGUGCGAAUGCUGACAUAAGUAACGAUAAAGCGGGUGAAAAGCCCGCUCGCCGGAAGACCAAGGGUUCCUGUCCAACGUUAAUCGGGGCAGGGUGAGUCGACCCCUAAGGCGAGGCCGAAAGGCGUAGUCGAUGGGAAACAGGUUAAUAUUCCUGUACUUGG